Molecule: ribosomal RNA, 198 nt
Filed under: gamma proteobacterium N2461
Lineage: Bacteria; Pseudomonadati; Pseudomonadota; Gammaproteobacteria; Pseudomonadales
Description: partial 16S ribosomal RNA
Source: RNAcentral
UAUUACCGCGGCUGCUGGCACGAAGUUAGCCGGUGCUUAUUCUGUCGGUAACGUCAAAACAGCAAGGUAUUAACUUACUGCCCUUCCUCCCAACUUAAAGUGCUUUACAAUCCGAAGACCUUCUUCACACACGCGGCAUGGCUGGAUCAGGCUUUCGCCCAUUGUCCAAUAUUCCCCACUGCUGCCUCCCGUAGGAGU